Molecule: ribosomal RNA, 816 nt
Filed under: uncultured bacterium
Lineage: Bacteria
Description: bacterial SSU rRNA
Rfam family: Bacterial small subunit ribosomal RNA
Source: RNAcentral
CAAGUCGAACGGGAAUCUUCGGAUUCUAGUGGCGGACGGGUGAGUAACGCGUAAGAAUCUAACUUCAGGACGGGGACAACAGUUGGAAACGACUGCUAAUACCCGAUAUGCCGCGAGGUGAAACCUAAUUGGCCUGAAGAAGAGCUUGCGUCUGAUUAGCUAGUUGGUGGGGUAAGAGCCUACCAAGGCGACGAUCAGUAGCUGGUCUGAGAGGAUGAGCAGCCACACUGGGACUGAGACACGGCCCAGACUCCUACGGGAGGCAGCAGUGGGGAAUUUUCCGCAAUGGGCGAAAGCCUGACGGAGCAACGCCGCGUGAGGGAGGAAGGUCUUUGGAUUGUAAACCUCUUUUCUCAAGGAAGAAGUUCUGACGGUACUUGAGGAAUCAGCCUCGGCUAACUCCGUGCCAGCAGCCGCGGUAAUACGGAGGAGGCAAGCGUUAUCCGGAAUUAUUGGGCGUAAAGCGUCCGCAGGUGGUCAGCCAAGUCUGCUGUCAAAUCAGGUUGCUUAACGACCUAAAGGCGGUGGAAACUGGCAGACUAGAGAGCAGUAGGGGUAGCAGGAAUUCCCAGUGUAGCGGUGAAAUGCGUAGAGAUUGGGAAGAACAUCGGUGGCGAAAGCGUGCUACUGGGCUGUAUCUGACACUCAGGGACGAAAGCUAGGGGAGCGAAAGGGAUUAGAUACCCCUGUAGUCCUAGCCGUAAACGAUGGAUACUAGGCGUGGCUUGUAUCGACCCGAGCCGUGCCGAAGCUAACGCGUUAAGUAUCCCGCCUGGGGAGUACGCACGCAAGUGUGAAACUCAAAGGAAUUGACGG